CAAAAAACAUUAUGAUACUUGCAAUAACCAGAAUUCGAACCCAGACUUUUAAAUUAGAAGCCAGAUAUGCUAGCAUCUUUACUAUCCAGAUUAACUUAAUGAAGAAAAGUGGAAGCUGGAGAGAGCAGACUUUUUAUAUAGUAGUAAGACAUUUCUUAGCAAGAAUCGUUCAUAGAAUGCUUGGCAUUUUACUGAUUCCUGCUAAGAAGCGUACCAGGCUCAGAGCAAGCAUCACCAAUCCUAAGAGAAAUUGCCCAUAUGAUGUGUUAUAACUCGUACUUCUUGUUCAGCAGAACAAAAAAACAAGA
RNAcentral lists this long non-coding RNA (308 nucleotides) under Androctonus crassicauda. The record is from RNAcentral. Lineage: Eukaryota; Metazoa; Arthropoda; Arachnida; Scorpiones; Buthidae.